AUAUUACCUGAAAUUGUGUAGAAAAUGCCAUGAAAUAAUUUUGUUGCAAAGAGGUAGCAAAGUUGAGGGGUGGACAAGCUCACUCUCUUGGGAUGAUAUGUACCGUUUGCAAAAUAAAAAACUAAAAUAAACUAACUUCAAUGUAAUAAUUGAUACUAAAUGGCUUCAAAAAAUAUAUUUUUUUAAAAAAAAUAUAUACCAAUUACAUCUAAAGGAAUUAGAAGGGCUUCUACUUUCAUAGCCCUUAUUUAUUAUUGAUUAGAGAGUUGGGAGGGUU
This 277-nucleotide long non-coding RNA is filed under the name Elaeis guineensis (African oil palm). RNAcentral's name for it is "long non-coding RNA (EGUI_LNC002487)". The record is from RNAcentral. Lineage: Eukaryota; Viridiplantae; Streptophyta; Magnoliopsida; Arecales; Arecaceae.